AAGUCGUAACAAGGUUUCCGUAGGUGAACCUGCGGAAGGAUCAUUACCAUAUUCUUCUAACCAAAAGCCCUGCGCUUUCGACAGAAUUGCAGGCAACUACCAUGAGCAAGCGCCACGCGGUUCCGCGUGGCGUGAGGGAAAGAAUCAUGCUGAUAUGAGUGAAUCUUUCUAGCGCCGUUCCCCCAACGACACUCCGGUGUCGGUGGGGAGCUCUGAGGACGGACUCGGUUCUUCACCGAACCCUGUGCUUGAAAAGGAACAACAAUACUGUACAACUGCAAACGGUGGAUCACUCGGCUC
This 300-nucleotide unclassified non-coding RNA is filed under the name fungal sp. Its description in RNAcentral is "partial internal transcribed spacer region". The stretch from base 1 to 46 matches the Rfam family "Eukaryotic small subunit ribosomal RNA", at positions 1786 to 1831 of the family's 1831-position model. The record is from RNAcentral. Lineage: Eukaryota; Fungi.